GGUUGACCUCGGAUCAGGUAGGGAUACCCGCUGAACUUAAGCAUAUCAAUAAGCGGAGGAAAAGAAACCAACAGGGAUUCCCCUAGUAACGGCGAGCGAAAAUCGUCGA
This 109-nucleotide ribosomal RNA is filed under the name uncultured fungus. RNAcentral describes it as "28S ribosomal RNA". It matches the Rfam family "Eukaryotic large subunit ribosomal RNA", at positions 1 to 106 of the family's 3401-position model. Lineage: Eukaryota; Fungi. The record is from RNAcentral.